This 72-nucleotide transfer RNA is filed under the name Camelus dromedarius (Arabian camel). It matches the Rfam family "tRNA". Rfam says of the family: Transfer RNA (tRNA) molecules are approximately 80 nucleotides in length. Their secondary structure includes four short double-helical elements and three loops (D, anti-codon, and T loops). Lineage: Eukaryota; Metazoa; Chordata; Mammalia; Artiodactyla; Camelidae. The record is from Rfam by way of RNAcentral. RNAcentral also lists the same sequence under 1 other name.
GGGGAUAUAGCUCAGUGGCAGAAUGCGGGCUUAGGAUGCACGGGGUCCUGGGUUCAAUCCCCAGUGCCUCCG